GGGCUCACACAAGCGGUGGAGCAUGUGGCUCAAUUCGAGGCUACGCGAAGAACCUUAUCCUGGGCUUGACAUGCACGGAUUAGCCGGCGGAAACGUCGGUGACGCCGCAAGGUGGAACGUGCACAGGUGCUGCAUGGCUGUCGUCAGCUCGUGCCGUGAGGUGUUGGGUUAAGUCCCGUAACGAGCGAAACCCCUGUGAUCAGUUGCCAGCGCGUCAAGGCGGGGACUCUGAUCAGACCGCCGGCGUCAAGCCGGAGGAAGGCGGGGACGACGUCAAGUCAUCAUGGCCCUUAUGCCCAGGGCUGCACACGUGCUACAAUGGGGCGGACAGAGCGUCGCCAGGCCGCAAGGCCGCGCCAAUCGCAAAAACCGCCCCCCAGUUCGGAUUGCGGGCUGCAACCCGCCCGCAUGAAGCCGGAAUCGCUAGUAAUCGCCGAUCAGCACUGCGGCGGUGAAUGUGUUCCUGAGCCUU
This 472-nucleotide ribosomal RNA is filed under the name uncultured bacterium. Its description in RNAcentral is "bacterial SSU rRNA". It matches the Rfam family "Bacterial small subunit ribosomal RNA", at positions 917 to 1382 of the family's 1533-position model. The record is from RNAcentral.